CCUGGCUCAGGACGAACGCUGGCGGCGCGCCUAACACAUGCAAGUCGAACGAGCGAUGGAGAGCUUGCUUUCCAGAGCGAGUGGCGAACGGGUGAGUAACGCGUGAGGAACCUGCCUCAAAGAGGGGGACAACAGUUGGAAACGACUGCUAAUACCGCAUAAGCCCACGGCUCGGCAUCGAGCAGAGGGAAAAGGAGUGAUCCGCUUUGAGAUGGCCUCGCGUCCGAUUAGCUGGUUGGUGAGGUAACGGCCCACCAAGGCGACGAUCGGUAGCCGGACUGAGAGGUUGAACGGCCACAUUGGGACUGAGACACGGCCCAGACUCCUACGGGAGGCAGCAGUGGGGAAUAUUGCACAAUGGGGGAAACCCUGAUGCAGCGACGCCGCGUGGAGGAAGAAGGUCUUCGGAUUGUAAACUCCUGUUGUUGAGGAAGAUAAUGACGGUACUCAACAAGGAAGUGACGGCUAACUACGUGCCAGCAGCCGCGGUAAAACGUAGGUCACAAGCGUUGUCCGGAAUUACUGGGUGUAAAGGGAGCGCAGGCGGGAGAACAAGUUGGAAGUGAAAUCCAUGGGCUCAACCCAUGAACUGCUUUCAAAACUGUUUUUCUUGAGUAGUGCAGAGUAGGCGGAAUUCCCGGUGUAGCGGUGGAAUGCGUAGAUAUCGGGAGGAACACCAGUGGCGAAGGCGGCCUACUGGGCACCAACUGACGCUGAGGCUCGAAAGUGUGGGUAGCAAACAGGAUUAGAUACCCUGGUAGUCCACACCGUAAACGAUGAUUACUAGGUGUUGGAGGAUUGACCCCUUCAGUGCCGCAGUUAACACAAUAAGUAAUCCACCUGGGGAGUACGACCGCAAGGUUGAAACUCAAAGGAAUUGACGGGGGCCCGCACAAGCAGUGGAGUAUGUGGUUUAAUUCGACGCAACGCGAAGAACCUUACCAAGUCUUGACAUCCCUUGACGAACAUAGAAAUAUGUUUUCUCUUCGGAGCAAGGAGACAGGUGGUGCAUGGUUGUCGUCAGCUCGUGUCGUGAGAUGUUGGGUUAAGUCCCGCAACGAGCGCAACCCUUAUGGUCAGUUACUACGCAAGAGGACUCUGGCCAGACUGCCGUUGACAAAACGGAGGAAGGUGGGGAUGACGUCAAAUCAUCAUGCCCUUUAUGACUUGGGCUACACACGUACUACAAUGGCGUUAAACAAAGAGAAGCAAGACCGCGAGGUGGAGCAAAACUCAGAAACAACGUCCCAGUUCGGACUGCAGGCUGCAACUCGCCUGCACGAAGUCGGAAUUGCUAGUAAUCGUGGAUCAGCAUGCCACGGUGAAUACGUUCCCGGGCCUUGUACACACCGCCC
Molecule: ribosomal RNA, 1355 nt
Filed under: uncultured bacterium
Lineage: Bacteria
Description: bacterial SSU rRNA
Rfam family: Bacterial small subunit ribosomal RNA
Source: RNAcentral